AGAGUUUGAUCAUGGCUCAGGAUGAACGCUGGCGGCGUGCUUAACACAUGCAAGUCGAACGAACCUUCGGGUUAGUGGCGGACGGGUGAGUAACGCGUGGGAAUCUGCCCUCAGGAGGGGGAUAACGGCUGGAAACGGCCGCUAAUACCCCAUAUGCCGAGAGGUGAAAUGAAUUUCGCCUGAGGAUGAGCCCGCGUCUGAUUAGCUAGUUGGUGAGGUAAGAGCUCACCAAGGCAUCGAUCAGUAGCUGGUCUGAGAGGAUGAUCAGCCACACUGGGACUGAGACACGGCCCAGACUCCUACGGGAGGCAGCAGUGGGGAAUUUUCCGCAAUGGGCGAAAGCCUGACGGAGCAACGCCGCGUGAGGGAUGAAGGCCUCUGGGCUGUAAACCUCUUUUCUCAAGGAAGAAGAUCUGACGGUACUUGAGGAAUAAGCCACGGCUAAUUCCGUGCCAGCAGCCGCGGUAAUACGGGAGUGGCAAGCGUUAUCCGGAAUUAUUGGGCGUAAAGCGUCCGCAGGCGGCCCUUCAAGUCUGCUGUUAAAAAGUGGAGCUUAACUCCAUCAUGGCAGUGGAAACUGUUGGGCUUGAGUGUGGUAGGGGCAGAGGGAAUUCCCGGUGUAGCGGUGAAAU
RNAcentral lists this ribosomal RNA (632 nucleotides) under uncultured cyanobacterium. Its description in RNAcentral is "bacterial SSU rRNA". It matches the Rfam family "Bacterial small subunit ribosomal RNA", at positions 8 to 687 of the family's 1533-position model. Lineage: Bacteria; Bacillati; Cyanobacteriota. The record is from RNAcentral.